Molecule: ribosomal RNA, 982 nt
Filed under: Acinetobacter seohaensis
Lineage: Bacteria; Pseudomonadati; Pseudomonadota; Gammaproteobacteria; Moraxellales; Moraxellaceae
Description: bacterial SSU rRNA
Rfam family: Bacterial small subunit ribosomal RNA
Source: RNAcentral
GAGUGGACGUUACCCACAGAAUAAGCACCGGCUAACUCUGUGUCAGCAGCCGCGGUAAUACAGAGGGUGCGAGCGUUAAUCGGAUUUACUGGGCGUAAAGCGCGCGUAGGUGGUUAAUUAAGUCAAAUGUGAGCUCCCCGAGCUUAACUUGGGAAUUGCAUUCGAUACUGGUUAGCUAGAGUAUGGGAGAGGAUGGUAGAAUUCCAGGUGUAGCGGUGAAAUGCGUAGAGAUCUGGAGGAAUACCGAUGGCGAAGGCAGCCAUCUGGCCUAAUACUGACACUGAGGUGCGAAAGCAUGGGGAGCAAACAGGAUUAGAUACCCUGGUAGUCCAUGCCGUACACGAUGUCUACUAGCCGUUGGGGGAUUUGAUCCUUUAGUGGCGCAGCUAACGCGAUAAGUAGACCGCCUGGGGAGUACGGUGGCAAGACUAAAACUCAAAUGAAUUGACGGGGGCCCGCACAAGCGGUGGAGCAUGUGGUUUAAUUCGAUGCAACGCGAAGAACCUUACCUGGCCUUGACAUAGUAGAGACUUUCCAGAGAUGGAAAGGUGCCUUCGGGAAUCUACAUACAGGUGCUGCAUGGCUGUCGUCAGCUCGUGUCGUGAGAUGUUGGGUUAAGUCCCGCAACGAGCGCAACCCUUUUCCUUACUUGCCAGCAUUUCGGAUGGGAACUUUAAGGAUACUGCCAGUGACAAACUGGAGGAAGGCGGGGACGACGUCAAGUCAUCAUGGCCCUUACGGCCAGGGCUACACACGUGCUACAAUGGUCGGUACAAAGGGUUGCUACCUAGCGAUGUGAUGCUUAUCUCAAAAAGCCGAUCGUAGUCCGGAUCGCAGUCUGCAACUCGACUGCGUGAAGUCGGAAUCGCUAGUAAUCGCGGAUGAGAAUGCCGCGGUGAAUACGUUCCCGGGCCUUGUACACACCGCCCGUCACACCAUGGGUGUUUGUUGCACCAGAAGUAGGUAGUCUAACCGCAAGGAG